UUUCCGUAGGUGAACCUGCGGAAGGAUCAUUAAUGAAAAUUAGGGGGGAGUUGAGCUGGUUUUACAAGUGCUCGCUUUUCCCGUUUUCUCCAAACACACACCUGUGAACCUUGGAAAAUGAGCUCUCGCGUGCUCUUUUCCUUAUUAACAAACCCCAAUUUUUAACUAUGAACGUGAUAACUAUUGUACCGCAAGGUCGAUAAUCAAAUAUACAACUUUUAACAACGGAUCUCUUGGCUCUCGCAUCGAUGAAGAACGCAGC
This 262-nucleotide unclassified non-coding RNA is filed under the name uncultured fungus. RNAcentral's name for it is "sequence contains ITS1, 5.8S rRNA gene". The stretch from base 214 to 262 matches the Rfam family "5.8S ribosomal RNA", at positions 1 to 49 of the family's 154-position model. Lineage: Eukaryota; Fungi. The record is from RNAcentral.